Pipistrellus kuhlii (Kuhl's pipistrelle) is the source of this 1410-nucleotide long non-coding RNA. RefSeq lists it as uncharacterized. NCBI's taxonomy places the organism in Eukaryota, Metazoa, Chordata, Mammalia, Chiroptera, Vespertilionidae. The record is from RefSeq and is a predicted model, not a curated record. The transcript is spliced from 2 exons.
AUCCUCAUUUCCUCUCUUUUUUACAUUUCUGCCUGCCUUUCUGGUGUGCCCUUGACUUGCAUCCCUCUUUGAAUCAAGGACUUUCUUGAGAAAAGGGAUCCUAUCUCAUCCAAUCUGAGUAACAUAGAAACACUCAUUACCAGACCAUACCCACAGAGGGGGCGGGGGGCGGGGGACAGAUGCCUAUGUCUUUCAAAGACAGACAAUACAUUCCUGUUUUCAAGCACCUGGGAAAUUUUCCCCCAACCAAUUUCCAGUUAAAGAGUGUGUUUGCGUUGCUGAAAUGGAAGCUGUUUUAAAGAUAGGAAUAGCGGUGAAAAUGAGAAAAACCAGUCCUCAGAAGCAUCCUUCUGAAUGGAGCCCUCCCACAGCAUUCAGAAGUCCUCAGUGAUCCUGACAAGUUGUCAGUGACCUGAUUAUUUCUGCAGAGGAAAGAAAAAAGGGUGACUUAGAAAUAAUAUAAAGAAUGCUUAGAGAAAUCCGCACAUUUAUUUUCUUUUUUAAGCUUACUCUUUUCAAUUCCUAAUCUCAUCAUAUUUGUGGACAAAGAAAAGGGUGAAAAGGGAAUUUAAAUGGCUACAUGAUGUGCAGGCUGAUUAAAGGUGAGAGCCGGAUCUGCCGGCAAUUGACAAGAGAUCCUGUGGUCGUUUAUUUAAUUGGACUCUGACUGACAAGGAGGCAUGGUCAGACUAUGGCGCACCAUUGUGGGAAAACACAUUCUCAUUUGCUUGACCCAUACUUCUCAGAGCAUAGCUUCUUCAGAUGUUCUGGAUAAAAGGAGCCUGAGAAAGCCUUUUUGACUCUUUGCCAUCUUCAUAGAACAGUGUUCUGUAACACCACUGCCACCUCCAGAUCUUCAACAACCUCUUAGCUGACAAGAUUUUGGAAAUCAAGGCAGGUAAGCAAUGUAUUGAAAAACGGUGCCAACUGGGCUCUGAACAGAAGAAGCUGGAGAUGUUUGGUGCCUUCGGUGUUUUGUCAUUGUUGACUCCGUUUUAGAUUUCCUCAAAAAUCCAGUGUAAUUUACAGGGUAAGAAAGCAAGCAGGGAUUUGAGGCCAUGAAUAAAGAUAUGCACACCGCUACACCUAAACAUGAGCAGAUGGCAGGAGAGACACAGAUGCCAACAAGGCGAGGGAAACAUUGACAGUGUUCUUGUUGCCUUCAAAACUAAGCUCAGAAACUCACAGGCAAUAAUUGUGACUUUUCAGCCAAGUAACCAAGUGAAUAGUAAGAGAAUGAAUGAACACUUAGGAGAAAAGAUGUCUUAAAACAAGCCACUCUACCAUAUUAGAAUUAAACUAUGCCAGCUGAUUAAAGAUGCUGUCAUUUUGUAAAGUCAAACAAAAGUAAAUCAAACAUAUUUGGGGUGUUCAAAAUUGCCAUAAAAUAAACAUAAAUAAUUCUGAAAA